GGCUAACGCUGGCGGCGUGUCUUAGCCAUGCAAGUCGAGCGGACUUAUGGGGUAACUUAUAAGUCAGCGGCGGACGGCGGAGUAACACGUAGCUAACCUACCCUCUGGACGGGGAUAACCUACCGAAAGGUGGGCUAAUACCCGAUGUAGUCAUCCUGUAUAGGGGUGAUGAAAGGUGGGCUUCUGUUUACAAGCUCAUGCUGGAGGAGGGGGCUGCGGCCUAUCAGGUAGUUGGUAGGGUAAUAGCCUACCAAGCCGAUGACGGGUAGCCGGCCUGGAGGGUGACCGGCCCGAGGGGCACUGAGAUACGGGUCCCACGUCCUACGGGAGGCAGCAGGCUAGAAAUUUGGGCAAUGGGGGAAACCCUGACCCAGUGACGCCGCGUGCAGGAAGGAGCCCUUCGGGGUGUAAACUGCUGUCGUGUAGGGAGAAGGGUACUAAGGUGAACAAUCUUAGUACUUGACGGUACUACAGGAGGAAGCCCAGGCUAACCUCGUG
This 498-nucleotide ribosomal RNA is filed under the name uncultured bacterium. RNAcentral describes it as "bacterial SSU rRNA". It matches the Rfam family "Bacterial small subunit ribosomal RNA", at positions 28 to 507 of the family's 1533-position model. The record is from RNAcentral.